UACUCAGUGCAGAAUAGCGAUCAAGUAGUCCCAAACUGUGAGAGGCAGAUGAAUCGAUUCAAAUUUAUUAACCAUCCAUGGCGAACCUAAUCUCACGACAUCCGCGCACCACGAAGGGUCGCUUCAUUUGUCAGCCGUCCCCAUCGAUCCCUUAGGCACGUGUCAGGGCCAACUGCCUUUGGCAUGCAAUGCUUCAUAAUCCCAGCCUCUGCCGUACUAUGACCGCACUUGCACCCACAUGAUGCACCAUGG
RNAcentral lists this long non-coding RNA (252 nucleotides) under Setaria viridis. RNAcentral's name for it is "long non-coding RNA (SVIR_LNC003386)". Lineage: Eukaryota; Viridiplantae; Streptophyta; Magnoliopsida; Poales; Poaceae. The record is from RNAcentral.